Molecule: ribosomal RNA, 253 nt
Filed under: uncultured bacterium
Lineage: Bacteria
Description: partial 16S ribosomal RNA
Rfam family: Bacterial small subunit ribosomal RNA
Source: RNAcentral
GACAGAGGGGGCAAGCGUUGCUCGGAAUCACUGGGCGUAAAGGGCGCGUAGGCGGGAUGGCAAGUCAGUCGUGAAAUCUCUCGGCUCAACCGAGAAGCGUCGGCUGAUACUGCCGUUCUUGAGGGAUGCAGAGGAGACUGGAAUUCCCGGUGUAGCGGUGAAAUGUGUAGAGAUCGGGAGGAACACCGGUGGCGAAGGCGGGUCUCUGGACAUUUCCUGACGCUGAGGCGCGAAAGCGUGGGGAGCAAACGGG